RNAcentral lists this ribosomal RNA (252 nucleotides) under uncultured bacterium. RNAcentral describes it as "partial 16S ribosomal RNA". It matches the Rfam family "Bacterial small subunit ribosomal RNA", at positions 524 to 776 of the family's 1533-position model. The record is from RNAcentral.
UACGGAGGAUGCGAGCGUUAUCCGGAUUUAUUGGGUUUAAAGGGUGCGUAGGCGGAUCGUUAAGUCAGUGGUCAAAUUGAGGGGCUCAACCCCUUCCCGCCAUUGAAACUGGCGAUCUUGAGUGGAAGAGAAGUAUGCGGGAUGCGUGGUGUAGCGGUGAAAUGCAUAGAUAUCACGCAGAACCCCGAUUGCGAAGGCAGCAUGCCGGCUUCCUACUGACGCUGAAGCACGAAAGCGUGGGGAUCGAACAGG